This 423-nucleotide ribosomal RNA is filed under the name uncultured cyanobacterium. RNAcentral's name for it is "bacterial SSU rRNA". It matches the Rfam family "Bacterial small subunit ribosomal RNA", at positions 357 to 796 of the family's 1533-position model. Lineage: Bacteria; Bacillati; Cyanobacteriota. The record is from RNAcentral.
GGGAAUUUUCCGCAAUGGGCGAAAGCCUGACGGAGCAACGCCGCGUGAGGGAAGAAGGCCUCUGGGCUGUAAACCUCUUUUCUCAAGGAAGAAGAUCUGACGGUACUUGAGGAAUAAGCCACGGCUAAUUCCGUGCCAGCAGCCGCGGUAAUACGGGAGUGGCAAGCGUUAUCCGGAAUUAUUGGGCGUAAAGCGUCCGCAGGCGGCCUUUCAAGUCUGCUGUUAAAGCGUGGAGCUUAACUCCAUUAAGGCAGUGGAAACUGUUGGGCUUGAGUGUGGUAGGGGCAGAGGGAAUUCCCGGUGUAGCGGUGAAAUGCGUAGAUAUCGGGAAGAACACCAGUGGCGAAGGCGCUCUGCUGGGCCAUAACUGACGCUCAUGGACGAAAGCCAGGGAGCGAAAGGGAUUAGAUACCCCUGUAGUCA